AUUGAACGCUGGCGGCAUGCUUUACACGUGCAAGUCGAACGGCAGCGCGGGCUUCGGCCUGGCGGCGAGUGGCGAACGGGUGAGUAAUACAUCGGAACGUGCCCAGUAGUGGGGGAUAGCUCGGCGAGAGCCGGAUUAAUACCGCAUACGACCUGAGGGUGAAAGCGGGGGAUCCUCGGACCUCGCGCUAUUGGAGCGGCCGAUGGCAGAUUAGCUAGUUGGUGGGGUAAAGGCCUACCAAGGCGACGAUCUGUAGCUGGUCUGAGAGGACGACCAGCCACACUGGGACUGAGACACGGCCCAGACUCCUACGGGAGGCAGCAGUGGGGAAUUUUGGACAAUGGGCGAAAGCCUGAUCCAGCAAUGCCGCGUGUGUGAUGAAGGCCUUCGGGUUGUAAAGCACUUUUGGCGGGAACGAAAAGGACUGUGCCAAUACCACGGUUCGAUGACGGUACCCGCAGAAUAAGCACCGGCUAACUACGUG
RNAcentral lists this ribosomal RNA (484 nucleotides) under uncultured bacterium. RNAcentral describes it as "partial 16S ribosomal RNA". It matches the Rfam family "Bacterial small subunit ribosomal RNA", at positions 29 to 507 of the family's 1533-position model. The record is from RNAcentral.